CGAGGGUGCAAGCGUUAAUCGGAAUUACUAGGCGUAAAGCGAGUGUAGGCGGCUACCUAAGUCGGAUGUGAAAGCCCCGGGCUCAACCUGGGAAUUGCACUCGAAACUGAGUAGCUAGAGUUUGGUAGAGGUAAGUGGAAUUCCAGGUGUAGCGGUGAAAUGCGUAGAUAUCUGGAGGAACAUCAGUGGCGAAGGCGGCUUACUGGACCAAAACUGACGCUGAGGCUCGAAAGCGUGGGGAGCAAACAGGAUUAGAUACCCGAGUAGUCC
Molecule: ribosomal RNA, 270 nt
Filed under: uncultured archaeon
Lineage: Archaea
Description: partial 16S ribosomal RNA
Rfam family: Bacterial small subunit ribosomal RNA
Source: RNAcentral